UUUCAUCAACUCCUGAAAUGCAAAACCUUCUGUGGCAAGAGAGAAAAGGCAGUCUUAUGACUGUGGCUCUGACCUAAAGGACACGCUCUCUCCAAGUAUGAUUUCACUCAGGUAGUGAGAGCAAGAGCUGCAUUCAAAAACAAGAAGAUUGGCCUUAGGCAGACAGGUCUCCGUGUGUGCAACUUAUCCAGAAGCUGGCUCUUUCUGCAGUACAGUGUGUCCUCUGAUGCUCAUGUUUGGACCUUGCUUCAGCAAUGGCUCAGAGUUCCAGCUAUUGUUUCACUAACACCAGUUCCUGCCGUGCUGGGGGUUUCCCCUCUCAUCUCUUUCCCAUAUUAUCAACUAGACCCAACCCUCUUCUGUUCAUAAAAUCUGACGGGAGGCCCCAGAUUGGGCUACGAUGGCUACUAUAUGCUGUUUAUGCAAUUCUAGCAUUGCAGCUACCGUGCAGAAGAAAUAAUGGUUAUUCAUUUUCAUAUCUGACGUGGGAACCCAAAUGCUUUGAGGCAUCAAUGAGAGGAACAGUCAUUGCGAUACAGGGCAGGCGGCAGCACUUUGUCAAAGACUGUGCUUUGGUAGAAGUACCCUCUGUAAUCAGCGUGUCUUGCAGCUGUGUGUGGCUUCUCUGCAGAAGAGACACUGUCAUUUCUGUAGUUGACUUGAGGGGAAAAAGAGGCGGAUAGGCUUGCAAAUGUUAAGAUUUACCAGUGUACAAAGAUCCAUGCAAAGCAAGGGGAAGACCUUUUGCUAUUUAAACAGAAAUAUGGACAGAGAGAGUGUGUCUUAGAAACAAGACAUCAAGUGGAUUGCUUGACUGCAGCUGUAAAUUCGGACUGUGUAAGACUGGAAAGAGCUGAGGGUAUCAACCUCGUAUGUCCUGUAGCACAAGGACAUGGAAAAUGGAAAAAUGAACAUGUGAUGUACAGGCUAAGCCACUGUUUUAAAUGUGUCCGUGCCACCACAGCCAGCCACCUGGGCUAGCUGUGUUCAUUUCUUCUGUUAUCAUUUCUUCUAAAGCUUAAGAGGGUUUACAAAACAUGCCUGUCAAAACUUAAAUAUUUAUGACAGCUCUCAUCUGUGCAACACACAUGCCACUGUGAUGGGACUGCUAAUAUGAACUUUCCUGAUACACUUCAUCUCAUCAAGGCUAAUGAGAAUAGCCAUUACAUGUGUUCAGAUGUGUACUUGACUUAUGGCAAUGCCCAAAUCUCAUAUGGUUGCAAUCUUCCUUGCAUGUGGAUAUUUCCAGAAGAUUUUUUUAAAUUUUUUUUUAACUUUUCAUUUAUGUUUCUUAUGGAAAUACAGAAGAAAUGGUUAAUUUGCCCUGUGUAUGGGCUUUUCUAUUUAUUAACAAUUUUCCGUAUUCAUGUUAACCCUACUUUUUUUUCUUCACCUCCAUUUACAGUUACGUUCUUUAAUCAUCUGCAAAUAUGGAUUAUAAUCUCUUUUGAGAAGAAGCUAUAUGUCCUUUACUGCUCUGAAGAGCAUAGGGCACUCUGAAGUGUCAUAAAAUCUUAAUGUGCUCAUCUUAAAGUGCAUCUUUUUCAUAUGUCCUUAACCUUGCACCUCAGCAGCAGUCUAAAUUCAAUUCAUUCACUAUUUAGUGCUAUCCUCAGAGAUGGGCUAGGAGGUGGAAUGAGCAGGUGUCCUAGUCAACCUGAGAAGUUGCUUGGUAUUUUGCUUCAUUUGUGAUGCUUCAGCACAAGACACAGAUUUCCAUUUUAAGUGCCUUUGUGGGCACUGUUGGUAAAUUCUGACAGUAAUAAAUACGAUUAUUCUGCUUGAGCCUUAAA
This is a long non-coding RNA of Aquila chrysaetos chrysaetos, 1793 nucleotides long. RefSeq lists it as uncharacterized. The record is from RefSeq and is a predicted model, not a curated record. NCBI's taxonomy places the organism in Eukaryota, Metazoa, Chordata, Aves, Accipitriformes, Accipitridae. The transcript is spliced from 2 exons.